Lytechinus variegatus (green sea urchin) is the source of this 831-nucleotide RNA transcript. It is a transcript of the gene named UPF0538 protein C2orf76 homolog, with no coding region annotated. The transcript has 6 exons. Lineage: Eukaryota; Metazoa; Echinodermata; Echinoidea; Temnopleuroida; Toxopneustidae. The record is from RefSeq and is a predicted model, not a curated record.
AAGAAGUUUAGGCCGAAGAGAGUUGGGAAGAGAGCCGUCUGCUAAACCUUUCCCUACUUAAAAGUACUUACUCAAAAAGUGGAAGUUUGAGUACUGUUACAGUCUUGAGUUGGUGCACUUUGAAAGUUUUGAAACGUCUUCAGGAAAAAUGGAAGACCAAUCGGGGACAUUGGUAACCAUCCGUCUCAUCCGUUCAUUUCCUCAUCGGAACAUCAAACACUUUGUCCUGCACAACAUCAACCUAGAUGAUACUGUUGAGGAGUUUAUGAACAAGAUACGAGAAGAUAUCAAGACGAGAAGUGGCCUCCCUCCUCCAUUUAGGAAACAUGCGUAUGAUACACUGAAGAUUGAAUACAAGGCUUAUGGAUCAAAGACAAGUGAUCCUGUUAUUAAUAAAGGAGAUGAUGACAAGCUUAUGCUGAAACCAAACCAAACUCUUAGGGCAUGCAACAUAGAGAAUGAGACAGAAUUGUCCUUCUUCAAUCUCAAAGAUUAUGAGGAGUACAAACUUGAUAGCACUACAGUUUGGUGACGAUAGUUUCCUUGAUAUCUGUACAAAUAUCUUGUGAGAAGAGAUUCUAUACAAAAGGCGAUAUGCAGCACCGGUUGGAUGAUGGAUCCUGGCCUCUUGCCCAGAGGAUGACCUUGAGAAAAGAAGAGUAAUUGACCCUGAUCAUCACCCCAAGGCCCUCCACCCCCCCCCCCUCUCUUUCUUUCCUCUGACUUAAACGCUUAUCCCAUCCCACUCCGAACCUCAAUUCCUCUUUUAUCUUAAUCACAACCCUCCCCCCCCCCUGCAUUCGUGGAUAUCUAUUACCCACCAUUCCUCAU